GGACGAACGCUGGCGGCGUGCUUAACACAUGCAAGUCGAGCGGUAAGGCCCUUUCGGGGGUACACGAGCGGCGAACGGGUGAGUAACACGUGGGUGACCUGCCCUUAGCUCUGGGAUAAGCCUGGGAAACUGGGUCUAAUACCGGAUAUGACUCCAUAACGCAUGUUGUGGGGUGGAAAGCCUUGUGCGGCUAGGGAGUGGGCCCGCGGCCUAUCAGCUUGUUGGUGGGGUGAUGGCCUACCAAGGCGACGACGGGUAGCCGGCCUGAGAGGGCGACCGGCCACACUGGGACUGAGACACGGCCCAGACU
This 310-nucleotide ribosomal RNA is filed under the name uncultured bacterium. RNAcentral describes it as "bacterial SSU rRNA". It matches the Rfam family "Bacterial small subunit ribosomal RNA", at positions 27 to 337 of the family's 1533-position model. The record is from RNAcentral.